Molecule: long non-coding RNA, 240 nt
Filed under: Homo sapiens (human)
Lineage: Eukaryota; Metazoa; Chordata; Mammalia; Primates; Hominidae
Description: non-protein coding lnc-SRCIN1-1:8
Source: RNAcentral
GGGUGGCCCAAUGGGGAGAAAACUAAGGAUUCGGUGUUGGGACCACUCCUGCCCUGACCUGCCCUGUGACUCCGUCAUACUCUCCAAAGGCCAGACCCUCCUAGACCAGCUGGAACCACCAUCAAGAUGUCCCCAGCCAUGUCAGACUCUGGGGCCCCAGGCGGAGGGCAACCAGAUGUCUUCAGCUCCAAGUCUGGCCUCUCCUCCCAGCAAGCAGCCAUUACAGAAACUGAGGCUUGG